AUACGGAGGGUCCAAGCGUUAUCCGGAUUCAUUGGGUUUAAAGGGUCCGCAGGCGGUCAAUUAAGUCAGAGGUGAAAGCCCAUCGCUCAACGAUGGAACUGCCUUUGAUACUGGUUGACUUGAGUUAUACGGAAGUAGAUAGAAUAAGUAGUGUAGCGGUGAAAUGCAUAGAUAUUACUUAGAAUACCGAUUGCGAAGGCAGUCUACUACGUAUAUACUGACGCUGAGGGACGAAAGCGUGGGGAGCGAACAGGAUUAGAUACCCUAGUAGUCC
Molecule: ribosomal RNA, 274 nt
Filed under: uncultured bacterium
Lineage: Bacteria
Description: partial 16S ribosomal RNA
Rfam family: Bacterial small subunit ribosomal RNA
Source: RNAcentral